Molecule: ribosomal RNA, 611 nt
Filed under: Hymenogaster niveus
Lineage: Eukaryota; Fungi; Basidiomycota; Agaricomycetes; Agaricales; Hymenogastraceae
Description: eukaryotic LSU rRNA
Rfam family: 5.8S ribosomal RNA (bases 252-405)
Source: RNAcentral
AGGAUCAUUAUUGAAUGAACUUGGUGUGGUUGUUGCUGGCCCUUUUGGGGGCAUGUGCACACCCACCAUCCUCAUCUCUCCACCUGUGCACCUCUUGUAGACUUGGGGAUAGAUUUUCCGAGGCAACUCGGUCUGGAGGAAUGCUACCAAGCUUUCUUUGUAUUUAUUUCCUGGUCUAUGUUUUUUCCAUAUACCCCUUAGCAUGUAACAGAAUGAAUGAUUUGGGCCUUUGUGCCCAUAAACCCUUAUACAACUUUCAGCAACGGAUCUCUUGGCUCUCGCAUCGAUGAAGAACGCAGCGAAAUGCGAUAAGUAAUGUGAAUUGCAGAAUUCAGUGAAUCAUCGAAUCUUUGAACGCACCUUGCGCUCCUUGGUAUUCCGAGGAGCAUGCCUGUUUGAGUGUCAUUAAAUUCUCAACCUUAUCAGUUUAUUUCUGAUAGUGGCUUGGAUUGUGGGGGUUGCUGGCUUUGAGGUCAGCUCCCCUUAAAUGCAUUAGCUGGUGCCUUGUGUGGACCGUCUAUUUGGUGUGAUAAUUAUCUACGCCAUGCAWGGUGGUGCUAGCGCUGCUUCUAACSGUCUGUUAAUUCGGACAAUACAUGACAAUUUGACCU